UUCAUUAGCUGGCGGACCAGCCAUGUUGAACCUUGUUUAAUUGUUGUUUUCGAGUGGAAUAGUUUUCCACGUGGGUUUCAUUUGUUAAGUCAGGUAUUUUGACUGCUACGUUGUAGCGGAAAUUCCAAGUUCCUAAACAAUGUUAUCACCCGUUAGCUGUAAAGGUACUCUGGAAGAAAUCUAUGAUAUUAGUAGAAUAAUUUUAUGGAUUAAAGAAUUGGAUGUAAAAAAAAUUGCUUUACAAUUCCCCGAUGAACUGCUAAAUGAUGCUCCCGAUGUCGCACUUAAAAUAGAAUUGUCCUCCAACAUUGAAGUUCAUAUUCUAGGUGAUACUACAUAUGGAAGUUGUUGUGCUGAUGUUCAUGCUGCUACAUAUAUUGGUGCAGAGGCUUUGGUACAUUUUGGCCCAGCUUGUUUAACUCAGCAUGAAAAAUUUCCUGUGCUUUAUAUAUUUGAAAAAAUCAGUGUUGAAUCAAAACCAUUUUUAGAUGAGUUGACUGCAACUCUUUCAGAACAGGAUAAUUUAAUAAUAGCUUCUGAUCUGAGAUAUUAUCAUUCUGCAGAAACAAUAGUGGCUGAACUGCAGGCACUAAAGCGAACUGUGUUGUAUCUUGAACCCAAUCUGUUUUCAUUGCAUCAACCAUCACCAGAUCAUUUAACAGUGUCAGGGCGUACUUGCCAAAAGCUGUUGCCACACGACACUCCGAUCGAGAAUUUCAUCGUGAUAUACAUUGGCGAAGAGGGAUUAACAUUGACUAAUCUAAUGUUCACCCUAAACCAAUGUACUUUUUACACCUAUAACCCGAACGGAUGCUCCUUGAAAAAAGAAUGUGUUAAUGUCAAUCAGCAACUGCGGAGACGUUACUUCUUAACAGAGAAAGCUAAAGACGCUCAAUUAGUUGGUAUUCUUGUAGCUACAUUGGGUGUCGCUGAUCAUCUGAAAAUAAUUGAACACAUCAAAUUUCUCGCCAAAAACUCUGGCAAAAAGUGUUAUACUUUUGUUGUAGGAAAGCUGAAUCCAAAUAAGCUGGCCAACUUUCCAGAAAUCGAUGUUUUUGUAGCAGUUGCGUGUCCAGAGAAUUCAUUGCUAAACAACGAAGAAUUCUAUCGACCAGUUAUUACACCGUAUGAGUUUGAGAUUGCCGUGAACAGUUCGCGCCCUUGGACAGGCGAUUACAUAACUGAUUUUAGGCAAAUUCUGCCAGACGCGGCUGGGUACGUCCCGCUCACAGCUUUAAGCCAAGAACAAGAGGCAGAUGUUUCCCUUGUUUCAGGACAAAUGCGCCACGUAGCGUUGGAAGGCCUUGAUGACGAUUCCAGUGCAAGCUUUGAUCAGAUUUCACAUAGAAAUCCGAAUUCAAGCCUACUUCCUGUGGGUAGUGACUUUCUUAAGCGACGCGGUUGGAGUGGGCUUGAACCUCACGUUGGUGAAACCCCUGUCAGGACUGCGCAUUCAGGAAGAAGAGGAUUGGCAGCUGGUUACAGUGGGGAAGGCGAAAACGAAACCAAAUAAGAAAAUGUGUCUGAAAAACUCGACUUGGCUCAUAUUCUUGUUGCUAAAUUGGAGCAAUGGAUUUUGUAGGGAAUUAUCAUGCCAUUCCGUGUCGUCAUAAUAGAGUAAUGAAGACAAUUGAAUAUAUAUCGUUGAGGCACUAUGAGAAAUGUCCAGAAAAAGAUCGCGCGGGAUAGCGUAGCCUGCAUUGUGUCAUAGAGAAGCCUGCCAAGCUCAGUGCCUGGAGAAAAACUUCGGACUUUUUCCAACUAUUCCUCUGAAAGUGGUAGAAACCCUCUAGCCUCUACCCUAGAAGAUAUGUUUUCGUCAGAUGGCAGCAGGCUAUAAAGCAGACAACAUUAAUUUUUUUUCCACAACAACAAGCUAACGCCAAGCCCAUGCUCCCAAACAAGUGUAUUUAAUACAUUCCCAUUCUACUUUUG
Molecule: unclassified non-coding RNA, 1935 nt
Filed under: Daphnia magna
Lineage: Eukaryota; Metazoa; Arthropoda; Branchiopoda; Diplostraca; Daphniidae
Description: 2-(3-amino-3-carboxypropyl)histidine synthase subunit 2, transcript variant X1
Source: RNAcentral